GUCCAGCUCAACUGGUAGAGCAAGGCAUUAACGCUGCCAGGGUUAGUGGUUCAAGCCCAUUAAAAAGACUCUGGACU
Non-coding RNA from Merluccius polli (Benguela hake), 77 nucleotides. The record is from the annotation of a GenBank genome assembly. NCBI's taxonomy places the organism in Eukaryota, Metazoa, Chordata, Actinopteri, Gadiformes, Merlucciidae.